CGCGUAGGCGGUCGGGUAAGUCGGGUGUGAAAUUCCGGGGCUCAACCCCGUGAACUGCACUCGAUACUGCUCGACUAGAGAGAGGUAGGGGCGAGUGGAAUUCCCGGUGUAGCGGUGGAAUGCGUAGAUAUCGGGAAGAACACCGGUGGCGAAGGCGGCUCGCUGGACCUCUUCUGACGCUGAAGCGCGAAAGCGUGGGGAGCAAACA
This 208-nucleotide ribosomal RNA is filed under the name uncultured bacterium. Its description in RNAcentral is "partial 16S ribosomal RNA". It matches the Rfam family "Bacterial small subunit ribosomal RNA", at positions 568 to 774 of the family's 1533-position model. The record is from RNAcentral.